UACGUAGGUGGCAAGCGUUGUCCGGAUUUACUGGGCGUAAAGGGAGCGUAGGCGGACUUUUAAGUGGGAUGUGAAAUACUCGGGCUCAACCUGAGUGCUGCAUUCCAAACUGGAAGUCUAGAGUGCAGGAGGGGAAAGUGGAAUUCCUAGUGUAGCGGUGAAAUGCGUAGAUAUUAGGAAGAACACCGGUGGCGAAGGCGACUUUCUGGACUGUAACUGACGCUGAGGCUCGAAAGCGUGGGGAGCGAACAGG
Molecule: ribosomal RNA, 253 nt
Filed under: Clostridium vincentii
Lineage: Bacteria; Bacillati; Bacillota; Clostridia; Eubacteriales; Clostridiaceae
Also listed under: 1 other name
Description: partial 16S ribosomal RNA
Rfam family: Bacterial small subunit ribosomal RNA
Source: RNAcentral